Molecule: transfer RNA, 67 nt
Filed under: Runaria punctata
Lineage: Eukaryota; Metazoa; Arthropoda; Insecta; Hymenoptera; Blasticotomidae
Description: tRNA-Thr
Source: RNAcentral
GUUUUAAUAUUUUAAAUAUAAAAUAUUGAUUUUGUAAAUCAAUGAUAAGAAACUUUCUUUUAAAACU